UCCGCGGUAGCUCAUUGGUAGAGCAGCCGACUGUUAAUCGGCUGGUCGUAGGUUCGAAUCCUACCCGCGGAGCCA
Molecule: transfer RNA, 75 nt
Filed under: Caulobacter sp.
Lineage: Bacteria; Pseudomonadati; Pseudomonadota; Alphaproteobacteria; Caulobacterales; Caulobacteraceae
Description: tRNA-Asn
Rfam family: tRNA
About the family: Transfer RNA (tRNA) molecules are approximately 80 nucleotides in length. Their secondary structure includes four short double-helical elements and three loops (D, anti-codon, and T loops).
Source: RNAcentral